AGAGUUUGAUCCUGGCUCAGGAUGAACGCUAGCGGCAGGCUUAAUACAUGCAAGUCGAACGGUAACAGGUCCAGCAAUGGAUGCUGACGAGUGGCGCACGGGUGAGUAACGCGUAUGCAACCUACCCUCAACUGGGGAAUAGCCCCGAGAAAUCGGGAUUAAUACCCCAUAAUAUCCAGUGACCGCAUGGUUAUUGGAUUAAAGUUCCGGCGGUUGAGGAUGGGCAUGCGUAACAUUAGCUAGUUGGUGAGGUAACGGCUCACCAAGGCUACGAUGUUUAGGGGUCCUGAGAGGGUGAUCCCCCACACUGGUACUGAGACACGGACCAGACUCCUACGGGAGGCAGCAGUAGGGAAUAUUGGGCAAUGGACGCAAGUCUGACCCAGCCAUGCCGCGUGCAGGAAUGACGGCCCUAUGGGUUGUAAACUGCUUUUCUGCAAGAAGAAACCCCCGUACGUGUACGGGGCUGACGGUAUUGUAGGAAUAAGCAUCGGCUAACUCCGUGCCAGCAGCCGCGGUAAUACGGAGGAUGCAAGCGUUAUCCGGAUUCAUUGGGUUUAAAGGGUGCGCAGGCGGAUUAGUAAGUCAGUGGUGAAAGCCUACAGCUUAACUGUAGAACUGCCUUUGAUACUGCUAAUCUUGAGUGUAGUUGAGGUAGGCGGAAUGUGUCAUGUAGCGGUGAAAUGCUUAGACAUGACACAGAACACCGACCGUGAAGACAGCUUACCAAGCUACAACUGACGCUCAUGCACGAGAGCGUGGGGAUCAAACAGGAUUAGAUACCCUGGUAGUCCACGCUGUAAACGAUGGACACUCGCUGUUGGCGAUACACAGCCAGCGGCUGAGCGAAAGUAUUAAGUGUCCCACCUGGGGAGUACGAUCGCAAGGUUGAAACUCAAAGGAAUUGACGGGGGCCCGCACAAGCGGAGGAGCAUGUGGUUUAAUUCGAUGAUACGCGAGGAACCUUACCUAGGUUUGAAUGUUGGCUGACCGCCCGGGAAACUGGGCUUUUCCUUCGGGACAGCUAACAAGGUGCUGCAUGGUUGUCGUCAGCUCGUGCCGUGAGGUGUCAGGUUAAGUCCUAUAACGAGCGCAACUCCUAUCCUUAGUUGCCAGCAUGUAAUGAUGGGGACUCUAGGGAAACUGCCUACGCAAGUAGUGAGGAAGGUGGGGAUGACGUCAAAUCAGCACGGCCCUUAUACCUAGGGCUACACACGUGCUACAAUGGCCGGUACAGAGGGCAGCUACACUGUGAAGUGAUGCAAAUCUCGAAAGCCGGUCUCAGUUCGGAUCGAAGUCUGCAACCCGACUUCGUGAAGUUGGAUUCGCUAGUAAUCGCGCAUCAGCAAUGGCGCGGUGAAUACGUUCCCGGGCCUUGUACACACCGCCCGUCGAGCCAUGGAAGCUGGGGGUGCCUGAAGUCCG
This 1425-nucleotide ribosomal RNA is filed under the name metagenome. RNAcentral's name for it is "bacterial SSU rRNA". It matches the Rfam family "Bacterial small subunit ribosomal RNA". The record is from RNAcentral.